Molecule: microRNA precursor, 110 nt
Filed under: Mus pahari (shrew mouse)
Lineage: Eukaryota; Metazoa; Chordata; Mammalia; Rodentia; Muridae
Description: microRNA 6355 (MGP_PahariEiJ_G0006928.1)
Source: RNAcentral
AGCUAUGCUAUGACAUCACAAUGCUCCAAUGUGAGUGAUAUCACAACUUCACGUUGUGCCCACACAGUGCUGUAUUGUUUUAUUAUGAUGCUGAUUGUGCCAACAUAGUG